Molecule: ribosomal RNA, 473 nt
Filed under: uncultured bacterium
Lineage: Bacteria
Description: bacterial SSU rRNA
Rfam family: Bacterial small subunit ribosomal RNA
Source: RNAcentral
AGAGUUUGAUCAUGGCUCAGGAUGAACGCUGGCGGUCUGCUUAACACAUGCAAGUCGAACGGGCUUUUCGGAGCUAGUGGCGGACGGGUGAGUAACGCGUGAGAAUCUACCACUGGGAUGGGGACAACAGUUGGAAACGACUGCUAAUACCCAAUAAGCCGCAAGGUCAAAGAUUAAUUGCCCAAUGAAGAGCUCGCGUCUGAUUAGCUAGUUGGUGUGAUAAAAGCGCACCAAGGCGACGAUCAGUAGCUGGUCUGAGAGGAUGAGCAGCCACACUGGGACUGAGACACGGCCCAGACUCCUACGGGAGGCAGCAGUGGGGAAUUUUCCGCAAUGGGCGCAAGCCUGACGGAGCAAGACCGCGUGCGGGAUGAAGGUCUAUUGAUUGUAAACCGCUUUUGUGAGGGAAGAAGCUCUGACGGUACCUCACGAAUCAGCAUCGGCUAACUCCGUGCCAGCCGCCGCGGUAAUUC